RNAcentral lists this ribosomal RNA (497 nucleotides) under uncultured bacterium. RNAcentral describes it as "partial 16S ribosomal RNA". It matches the Rfam family "Bacterial small subunit ribosomal RNA", at positions 28 to 507 of the family's 1533-position model. The record is from RNAcentral.
GAUGAACGCUGGCGGCGUGCCUAAUACAUGCAAGUCGAGCGAACAGACGAGGAGCUUGCUCCUCUGACGUUAGCGGCGGACGGGUGAGUAACACGUGGAUAACCUACCUAUAAGACUGGGAUAACUUCGGGAAACCGGAGCUAAUACCGGAUAAUAUAUUGAACCGCAUGGUUCAAUAGUGAAAGACGGUUUUGCUGUCACUUAUAGAUGGAUCCGCGCCGCAUUAGCUAGUUGGUAAGGUAACGGCUUACCAAGGCGACGAUGCGUAGCCGACCUGAGAGGGGGUGGGCCAACAUGGGAACGGAACCCGGCACAAGCCCCCGAGGGGGGGAAGAAGAGGGGAUCCUUCCGGAGAGGCGGAAAGCCUAACGGAACAACCCGGGGUGGGUAAGAAAGGUCUUCGAAUCUAAAAACUUUUUUAUGGGGGAAAAAAAAAUGUGAAAAAAAUAAGGCCCGUCUGGAGGGUACCUAAUAAGAAAGCCACGCCUAACACGGUC